Molecule: ribosomal RNA, 464 nt
Filed under: uncultured bacterium
Lineage: Bacteria
Description: partial 16S ribosomal RNA
Rfam family: Bacterial small subunit ribosomal RNA
Source: RNAcentral
CCUACGGGUGGCAGCAGUAGGGAAUCUUCCACAAUGGGCGAAAGCCUGAUGGAGCAACGCCGCGUGGGUGAAGAAGGUCUUCGGAUCGUAAAACCCUGUUGUUAGAGAAGAAAGUGCGUGAGAGUAACUGUUCACGUUUCGACGGUAUCUAACCAGAAAGCCACGGCUAACUACGUGCCAGCAGCCGCGGUAAUACGUAGGUGGCAAGCGUUAUCCGGAUUUAUUGGGUUUAAAGGGUGCGCAGGCGGGGGCACAAGUCAGCGGUAAAAUCGCGGGGCUCAACCCCGCUCCGCCGUUGAAACUGUGUCCCUUGAGUGCGCGAAGGGUAGGCGGAAUGCGUGGUGUAGCGGUGAAAUGCAUAGAUAUCACGCAGAACUCCGAUCGCGAAGGCAGCCUACCGGCGCGCCACUGACAUUGAUGCUCGAAAGUGUGGGUAUCAAACAGGAUUAGAUACCCUAGUAGUC